AAAAAACUCUUAUGUUUCCCAGAACAGGAGAGUAAAACAAAAGAAACUGGACGACACAGUUGUGCCGCAAAUCCCCUAAAAGUCUGUCCCGCCAACCUGCACUCCACCUCACCCUCUGUCCUACCAUCCUGCCAUCCAUCUUACCCUCUAUCCCAUCAACCUGCCGUCCAUCUCACCCUCUGUCCCGUCAUCCAUCUCACCCUCUAUCCCGUCAUCCUGCCAUCCACCUCACCCUCUGUCCCGUCAACCUGCCAUCCAUCUCACCCUCUGUCCCGUCAACCUGCCAUCCAUCUCACCCUCUGUCCCGUCAUCCUGCCAUCCAUCUCACCCUCUGUCCCGUCAUCCAUCUCACCCUCUAUCCCGUCAACCUGCCAUCCAUCUCACCCUCUAUCCCGUCAACCUGCCAUCCAUCUCACCCUCUGUCCCGUCAACCUGCCAUCCAUCUCACCCUCUGUCCCGUCAUCCUGCCAUCCACCUCACCCUCUGUCCCGUCAACCUGCCAUCCAUCUCACCCUCUGUCCCGUCAUCCUGCCAUCCACCUCACCCUCUGUCCCGUCAACCUGCCAUCCAUCUCACCCUCUGUCCCGUCAUCCUGCCAUCCACCUCACCCUCUGUCCCGUCAACCUGCCAUCCAUCUCACCCUCUAUCCCGUCAACCUGCCAUCCAUCUCACCCUCUGUCCCAUCAUCCUGCCAUCCACCUCACCCUCUGUCCCGUCAACCUGCCAUCCAUCUCACCCUCUGUCCCGUCAACCUGCCAUCCAUCUCACCCUCUAUCCCGUCAACCUGCACUCCAUCUCACCCUCUGUCCCGCCAACCUGCACUCCAUCUCACCCUCUGUCCCGCCAACCUGCCGUCCUUCUCACCCUCUAUCCCGUCAACCUGCCGUCCAUCUCACCCUCUAUCCCGUCAACCUCACCCUCUAUCCUGUCAACCUGCCGUCCAUCUCACCCUCUGUCCCAUCAUCCUGCCAUCCAUCUUACCCUCUGUCCCGUCAUCCAUCUCACCCUCUGUCCCGUCAACCUGCACUCCACCUCACCCUCUGUCCUACCAUCCUGCCAUCCAUCUCACCCUCUAUCCCGUCAACCUGCCAUCCAUCUCACCCUCUGUCCCAUCAUCCUGCCAUCCACCUCACCCUCUGUCCCGUCAACCUGCCAUCCAUCUCACCCUCUGUCCCGUCAACCUGCCAUCCAUCUCACCCUCUGUCCCGUCAUCCUGCCAUCCACCUCACCCUCUGUCCCGUCAACCUGCCAUCCACCUCACCCUCUGUCCCGUCAUCCUGCCGUCCAUCUUACCCUCUGUCCCGUCAACCUGCCAUCCAUCUCACCCUCUAUCCCGUCAACCUGCACUCCAUCUCACCCUCUGUCCCGCCAACCUGCACUCCAUCUCACCCUCUGUCCCGCCAACCUGCACUCCAUCUCACCCUCUGUCCCGCCAACCUGCCGUCCAUCUCACCCUCUAUCCCGUCAACCUGCCAUCCAUCUCACCCUCUGUCCCAUCAUCCUGCCAUCCAUCUUACCCUCUAUCCCGUCAACCUGCCAUCCAUCUCACCCUCUAUCCCGUCAACCUGCCAUCCAUCUCACCCUCUAUCCCGCCAACCUGCCGUCCAUCUCACCCUCUGUCCCGUCAACCUGCCGUCCAUCUCACCCUCUGUCCCAUCAUCCUGCCGUCCAUCUUACCCUCUGUCCCGUCAUCCAUCUCACCCUCUAUCCCGUCAUCCUGCUGUCCAUCUCACCCUCUGUCCCGUCAACCUCACCCUCUGUCCCGCCAACCUGCACUCCAUCUCACCCUCUGUCCCGUCAUCCUGCCGUCCACCUCACCCUCUGUCCCGUCAUCCAUCUCACCCUCUAUCCCGUCAACCUGCCAUCCAUCUCACCCUCUGUCCCAUCAUCCUGCCAUCCACCUCACCCUCUAUCCUGUCAUCCUGCUGUCCAUCUCACCCUCUAUCCCGUCAACCUGCUGUCCAUCUCACCCUCUGUCCCAUCAUCCUGCCGUCCAUCUCACCCUCUAUCCCGUCAACCUGCCGUCCAUCUCACCCUCUGUCCCGUCAUCCAUCUCACCCUCUAUCCCGUCAACCUGCCAUCCAUCUCACCCUCUGUCCCAUCAACCUGCCGUCCACCUCACCCUCUGUCCCGUCAUCCAUCUCACCCUCUGUCCCAUCAUCCUGCCGUCCAUCUCACCCUCUAUCCCGUCAACCUGCCGUCCAUCUCACCCUCUGUCCCGUCAUCCAUCUCACCCUCUGUCCCAUCAUCCUGCCGUCCAUCUCACCCUCUAUCCCGUCAACCUGCCGUCCACCUCACCCUCUGUCCCGUCAUCCAUCUCACCCUCUGUCCCGUCAUCCUGCCGUCCAUCUCACCCUCUGUCCCGUCAUCCAUCUCACCCUCUAUCCCGUCAUCCAUCUCACCCUCUAUCCUGUCAUCCUGCUGUCCAUCUCACCCUCUAUCCCGUCAACCUGCUGUCCAUCUCACCCUCUGUCCCGUCAUCCUGCCGUCCAUCUCACCCUCUAUCCCGUCAACCUGCCAUCCAUCUCACCCUCUAUCCCGUCAACCUGCCGUCCAUCUCACCCUCUGUCCCGUCAUCCAUCUCACCCUCUAUCCCGUCAACCUGCCAUCCAUCUCACCCUCUGUCCCGUCAACCUGCCAGCCAUCUCACCCUCUAUCCCGUCAACCUGCCAUCCAUCUCACCCUCUGUCCCGUCAUCCUGCCAUCCAUCUCACCCUCUGUCCCGUCAUCCAUCUCACCCUCUAUCCCGUCAACCUGCCAUCCAUCUCACCCUCUAUCCCGUCAACCUGCCAUCCAUCUCACCCUCUGUCCCGUCAACCUGCCAUCCAUCUCACCCUCUGUCCCGUCAUCCUGCCAUCCACCUCACCCUCUGUCCCGUCAACCUGCCAUCCAUCUCACCCUCUAUCCCGUCAACCUGCCAUCCAUCUCACCCUCUGUCCCAUCAUCCUGCCAUCCACCUCACCCUCUGUCCCAUCAUCCUGCCAUCCACCUCACCCUCUGUCCCGUCAACCUGCCAUCCAUCUCACCCUCUGUCCCGUCAACCUGCCAUCCAUCUCACCCUCUAUCCCGUCAACCUGCACUCCAUCUCACCCUCUGUCCCGCCAACCUGCACUCCAUCUCACCCUCUGUCCCGCCAACCUGCCGUCCUUCUCACCCUCUAUCCCGUCAACCUGCCGUCCAUCUCACCCUCUAUCCCGUCAACCUCACCCUCUAUCCUGUCAACCUGCCGUCCAUCUCACCCUCUGUCCCAUCAUCCUGCCAUCCAUCUUACCCUCUGUCCCGUCAUCCAUCUCACCCUCUGUCCCGUCAACCUGCACUCCACCUCACCCUCUGUCCCAUCAUCCUGCCAUCCACCUCACCCUCUGUCCCGUCAUCCUGCCAUCCACCUCACCCUCUGUCCCGUCAACCUGCCAUCCAUCUCACCCUCUGUCCCGUCAACCUGCCAUCCAUCUCACCCUCUGUCCCGUCAACCUGCCAUCCAUCUCACCCUCUGUCCCGUCAUCCUGCCAUCCACCUCACCCUCUGUCCCGUCAACCUGCCAUCCACCUCACCCUCUGUCCCGUCAUCCUGCCGUCCAUCUUACCCUCUGUCCCGUCAACCUGCCGUCCAUCUCACCCUCUAUCCCGUCAACCUGCACUCCAUCUCACCCUCUGUCCCGCCAACCUGCACUCCAUCUCACCCUCUGUCCCGCCAACCUGCACUCCAUCUUACCCUCUAUCCCGCCAACCUGCCGUCCAUCUCACCCUCUAUCCCGUCAACCUGCCAUCCAUCUCACCCUCUAUCCCGCCAACCUGCCGUCCAUCUCACCCUCUGUCCCGUCAACCUGCCGUCCAUCUCACCCUCUGUCCCAUCAUCCUGCCGUCCAUCUUACCCUCUGUCCCGUCAUCCAUCUCACCCUCUGUCCCGUCAUCCUGCCGUCCACCUCACCCUCUGUCCCGUCAUCCAUCUCACCCUCUAUCCCGUCAACCUGCCAUCCAUCUCACCCUCUGUCCCAUCAUCCUGCCAUCCACCUCACCCUCUAUCCUGUCAUCCUGCUGUCCAUCUCACCCUCUAUCCCGUCAACCUGCUGUCCAUCUCACCCUCUGUCCCAUCAUCCUGCCGUCCAUCUCACCCUCUAUCCCGUCAACCUGCCGUCCAUCUCACCCUCUGUCCCGUCAUCCAUCUCACCCUCUAUCCCGUCAACCUGCCAUCCAUCUCACCCUCUGUCCCAUCAACCUGCCGUCCACCUCACCCUCUGUCCCGUCAUCCAUCUCACCCUCUGUCCCAUCAUCCUGCCGUCCAUCUCACCCUCUAUCCCGUCAACCUGCCGUCCAUCUCACCCUCUGUCCCGUCAUCCAUCUCACCCUCUGUCCCAUCAUCCUGCCGUCCAUCUCACCCUCUAUCCCGUCAACCUGCCGUCCAUCUCACCCUCUGUCCCGUCAUCCAUCUCACCCUCUGUCCCGUCAUCCUGCCGUCCAUCUCACCCUCUGUCCCGUCAUCCAUCUCACCCUCUAUCCCGUCAUCCAUCUCACCCUCUAUCCUGUCAUCCUGCUGUCCAUCUCACCCUCUAUCCCGUCAACCUGCUGUCCAUCUCACCCUCUGUCCCGUCAUCCUGCCGUCCAUCUCACCCUCUAUCCCGUCAACCUGCCAUCCAUCUCACCCUCUAUCCCGUCAACCUGCCGUCCAUCUCACCCUCUAUCCCGUCAACCUGCCGUCCAUCUCACCCUCUGUCCCGUCAUCCAUCUCACCCUCUAUCCCGUCAACCUGCCAUCCAUCUCACCCUCUGUCCCGUCAACCUGCCAGCCAUCUCACCCUCUAUCCCGUCAACCUGCCGUCCAUCUCACCCUCUGUCCCGUCAUCCUGCCAUCCAUCUCACCCUCUGUCCCGUCAUCCUGCCAUCCAUCUCACCCUCUGUCCCGUCAUCCAUCUCACCCUCUGUCCCAUCAUCCUGCCAUCCACCUCACCCUCUGUCCUGUCAACCUGCUGUCCAUCUCACCCUCUAUCCUGUCAACCUGCCAUCCAUCUCACCCUCUGUCCCAUCAUCCAUCUCACCCUCUAUCCCAUCAUCCAUCUCACCCUCUAUCCCGUCAACCUGCCAUCCAUCUCACCCUCUGUCCCAUCAUCCUGCCAUCCACCUCACCCUCUGUCCCAUCAUCCUGCCAUCCAUCUCACCCUCUGUCCCGUCAUCCAUCUCACCCUCUAUCCCGUCAACCUGCCAUCCAUCUCACCCUCUGUCCCAUCAUCCUGCCAUCCACCUCACCCUCUGUCCCAUCAUCCUGCCAUCCAUCUUACCCUCUAUCCCGUCAACCUGCCAUCCAUCUCACCCUCUGUCCCAUCAUCCUGCCAUCCAUCUCACCCUCUGUCCCGUCAUCCAUCUCACCCUCUGUCCCAUCAUCCUGCCAUCCACCUCACCCUCUGUCCUGUCAACCUGCUGUCCACCUCACCCUCUUUCCUGCCAACCUGCUGUCCAUCUCACCCUCUGUCCUGCCAACCUGCACUCCAUCUCACUCUCUGUCCUGCCAACCUGCACUCCAUCUCACCCUCUGUCCUAUCAUCCUGCCAUCCAUCUCACCCUCUGUCCUACCAUCCUGUCAUCCAUCUCACCCUCUAUCCUGUCAACCUGCUGUCCAUCUCACCCUCUGUCCUACCAUCCUGCCAUCCAUCUCACCCUCUGUCCCAUCAUCUCGCCAUCCACCUCACCCUCUAUCCUGUCAACCUGCCAUCCAUCUCACCCUCUGUCCCGCCAACCUGCACUCCAUCUCACCCUCUGUCCCGUCAUCCUGCUGUCCAUCUCACCCUCUGUCCCGUCAACCUCACCCUCUGUCCCGCCAACCUGCCGUCCAUCUCACCCUGUGUCUUACCAACCUGCUGUACCACCCAUAG
RNAcentral lists this long non-coding RNA (5862 nucleotides) under Scleropages formosus (Asian bonytongue). Its description in RNAcentral is "lncRNA (ENSSFOG00015027858.1)". The record is from RNAcentral. Lineage: Eukaryota; Metazoa; Chordata; Actinopteri; Osteoglossiformes; Osteoglossidae.